Orbicella faveolata is the source of this 1688-nucleotide long non-coding RNA. Lineage: Eukaryota; Metazoa; Cnidaria; Anthozoa; Scleractinia; Merulinidae. The record is from RefSeq and is a predicted model, not a curated record.
CGGUUGAAUGGGACUAGUAACUCGCUUUCACAUCUGGAUCUACGGCGCUCUGGACCCAAAUCACAGAGGACCAUGAAGAAGUGUUCGCUGGAUGUACGAGAUGCUUGUUUUGGAUGUAAUUCUAGAGCUAAUUUCGCAGGGUCAGCCAAUUUCGAAUUCACAUUAACAGGUCUUGCGUGGCAAAUGAAGUAGGCGAGUUCACUCAGAUCAGACGUCAUUAUGUAAUCUUUUUUUGUUACUGAUACCUGACAUUAGCCAAUCAAAACGAAGCUACGCCGUGAUUAAAAAGAGUGCAACAGCAAGAGGCUGCUCAGAUAAACUUCUCGCGCCCAGUGAACAUUCUUUCAGCCUGGAGAGCACUGUUGCGGAGCGCAAGCAAGCUACACAAAAACAGCUUUUGCUAACUGAAUAACAGCCAUCCCCGGCAACAAAACACAGAUUUUCUGACACUCAGAAACUCGGAAAAUAAGGAUGAGCCUGAAGCUUGGAUUCACUUUAUUUCUCCUCCUGCUGUUGGUCGACCUGCCUAGAAUUCUGAGCCGGAAAUGUCAUAAAGGAGGACACAAAUGUAAAGUGCACGAGAACUCUCCAAUCCCUGUGGACCUUCCGCGCCUUUGCGGUGACAAUAUCAUUGACAUUUACAAGAACAUUUGCGACUCAAUGUGGGCUAGAUGGAGACGAAGACGAGAUACGGGUGCGGAUUUGUUUGUCCAGACGAAACACGAAGCCAACGAUUUCCUCUCGUUCAGAAGACAAAAGAGGAGCACAGAUUCGACUAACGUUAUCGAAGAAUGCUGCGGCGAAAGGUGUAGAACAGAAGAACUCAAGGAAUAUUGCUAAGCAAAAGAAAAAAGAAAAAAAAAAUUCACGCGGGCAACUGAUGUCCGAUUGGAAACUUUCCGAACAAAAGGACCACAAACGUUAAGCUAUCAUUAAGUUAUUCUCUACUAAGGUUGUUAAUAAUAUAUUGUUGUUUAUGAAGCAAUGUUAUCCCGUGUCGUGGAGAACUAGAAUAAAAUACGGCAAAUUAAAAGACUAGAAACCCGAUACAUACUCAGCAAGUAUCCAACGGUUGGCAAAGUGAAGCGGUAUUUCUACGUCAUAAUGUGCCGUUCGUGGUAGGAAUGUGGCAUGUUAAUAAUAAGAGGAGGAAAAAUAAUUACUGGUAUUUUCUCGAUUGAGAACCGGACCCCGACGAAACACAGGGUUUAAAAACAAUAUCAAAAAUAUUCUCUGAAAUGAUAUUAUUUUACUAUUUACCAGUCAGCGUUCCCUAGUGCUUCAAAGUUGGCAAAAUUAUGUGGUUCGACUCGCUAAUUUACCUACUCCGAUAUGACUCCAGAAACAUGUAAUAAGAUGUAAAUAUUUACGCUACCGAAGUAUGGAAGGAAUUGAAAACUUAAUAAACCUACCGUUAUCAACCGGCAUGCAUCUGUGGAGGUGCUCCAUAAUGGUUGAGCCCGCGCUUCCCUUGUCCUUAACGGAAAUAUCGCAUUUUCGUUUUUGCAAAAUAAAUAAAUAAAUAAAUAAAUAAAUAAAUAAAUAAAUAAAAUAAAAAAUAUUCAGACCCUAAUAUGCGAGGAGAAUUAAAGUCAAUUCAAUAACCUAGCUUGAGGGUAGUUUUUAAGGGUUAGGUGUUAGCUUGUCAGUCUUCGGCAGAAACAGUAAUUAAAAGCAUUUUAGAAGUA